RNAcentral lists this ribosomal RNA (428 nucleotides) under uncultured bacterium. RNAcentral describes it as "bacterial SSU rRNA". It matches the Rfam family "Bacterial small subunit ribosomal RNA", at positions 355 to 775 of the family's 1533-position model. The record is from RNAcentral.
UGGGGAAUAUUGGACAAUGGGGGCAACCCUGAUCCAGCGAUGCCGCGUGGGUGAAGAAGGCCUGCGGGUUGUAAAGCCCUUUCGGUUGGGAAGAAAAGCUCCGUGCUAAUACCAUGGGGUGUUGACGUUACCGACAGAAGAAGCACCGGCUAACUCCGUGCCAGCAGCCGCGGUAAUACGGAGGGUGCGAGCGUUAAUCGGAAUUACUGGGCGUAAAGGGCGCGUAGGCGGUUCAGUGAGUCGGAUGUGAAAGCCCUGGGCUUAACCUGGGAAUGGCAUUCGAUACGGCUGGGCUAGAGUAUGGUAGAGGGAAGUGGAAUUUCCGGUGUAACGGUGAAAUGUGUAGAGAUCGGAAGGAACACCAGUGGCGAAGGCGACUUCCUGGACCAAUACUGACGCUCAAGCGCGAAAGCGUGGGGAUCAAACAG